Molecule: ribosomal RNA, 453 nt
Filed under: bacterium DL1
Lineage: Bacteria
Description: bacterial SSU rRNA
Rfam family: Bacterial small subunit ribosomal RNA
Source: RNAcentral
UUCCUACGGGGAGGNAGCAGUGGGGAAUAUUGGACAAUGGGCGCAAGCCUGAUCCAGCCAUGCCGCGUGUGUGAAGAAGGCCUUCGGGUUGUAAAGCACUUUCAGCGAGGAGGAAGGGGUGUGUGUUAAUAGUACACACCUUUGACGUUACUCGCAGAAGAAGCACCGGCUAACUCUGUGCCAGCAGCCGCGGUAAUACAGAGGGUGCAAGCGUUAAUCGGAAUUACUGGGCGUAAAGCGCACGUAGGCGGUUUUUUAAGUCAGAUGUGAAAGCCCCGGGCUCAACCUGGGAAUUGCAUUUGAAACUGGGGAACUAGAGUGUGUGAGAGGGGGGUAGAAUUCCAAGUGUAGCGGUGAAAUGCGUAGAGAUUUGGAGGAAUACCAGUGGCGAAGGCGGCCCCCUGGCACAACACUGACGCUCAGGUGCGAAAGCGUGGGGAGCAAACAGGAUUA